This is a non-coding RNA of Stachybotrys chartarum IBT 40288, 289 nucleotides long. NCBI's taxonomy places the organism in Eukaryota, Fungi, Ascomycota, Sordariomycetes, Hypocreales, Stachybotryaceae. The record is from Rfam.
CGUAGGCCUGCUGAGGGCAGAUGAAGUGGAUGUGCGAGUCGAUGGCGCCCGCCGUGAUGAUCUUGCCCUCGCCGGCUAUCACGUCGGUGCAGCUGCCCACGACCAUGUUGGGCGUGACGCCGUCCAUGACGUCCGGGUUGCCGGCCUUGCCGAUGCCGACGAUCAUGCCGUGCUUGACCCCGAUGUCGGCCUUGUAGAUGCCGGAGCAGUCGACGAUGAGCGCGUUGAUGACGACCAGGUCGAGGGACUCGGAGUCGGGCCGGCCGGUCGCCUGGCCCAUGCCCUCGCG